This 191-nucleotide non-coding RNA is filed under the name Deltaproteobacteria bacterium. RNAcentral describes it as "6S RNA". It matches the Rfam family "6S / SsrS RNA". Rfam says of the family: E. coli 6S RNA was the first non coding RNA to be sequenced, but its function was unknown until recently. It consists of 184 nucleotides that fold into an extended hairpin structure with a large single-stranded internal bulge. Lineage: Bacteria; Pseudomonadati; Myxococcota; Myxococcia. The record is from RNAcentral.
GUUCCCCUGCCCGGUUCGUGAUGGGCCGGCCAACUCAAGUCGAGAACCGAUGCGAUUUUUUCGGGAGACGUUCCUUCUGGCACCGCGCGAACUGCCGCAAAACGGGGCAGAGGCAGGGCGUCGGGACUACGUCACCCACCUGCUUAGGCAGGUUCCGACGCGGCUACCCACACGGCCAUGGCGGGGGUUCU